GACGUAGGGCGCGAGCGUUGUCCGGAUUUAUUGGGCGUAAAGAGCUCGUAGGCGGCUUGUCGCGUCGUCCGUGAAACCUGCAGCUCAACUGCAGGCUUGCGGUCGAUACGGGCAGGCUAGAGUUCGGUAGGGGAGACUGGAAUUCCUGGUGUAGCGGUGAAAUGCGCAGAUAUCAGGAGGAACACCGGUGGCGAAGGCGGCAUCCUGGACCAAUAUUGACGCUGAGGAGCGAAAGCCAGGGAGCAAACGGG
Molecule: ribosomal RNA, 251 nt
Filed under: uncultured bacterium
Lineage: Bacteria
Description: partial 16S ribosomal RNA
Rfam family: Bacterial small subunit ribosomal RNA
Source: RNAcentral